Molecule: ribosomal RNA, 1387 nt
Filed under: Torularia atra
Lineage: Eukaryota; Rhodophyta; Florideophyceae; Batrachospermales; Batrachospermaceae
Description: eukaryotic LSU rRNA
Rfam family: Eukaryotic large subunit ribosomal RNA
Source: RNAcentral
GAAAAGAAACUAACAAGGAUUCCCCUAGUAGCGGCGAGCGAAGCGGGAAGAGCCCGGGAUGAAAAUCUCUUCGGAGAGUUGUAGUCUGAGCUCCCUUGGGCGGUCAGUGUGGGUAAAUCGUCUGGGAUGACGUGCCAAGGAGGGUGAGAGCCCCGUCCACCCCACACAGGACCCGCCCGCACGAGGGCGCUUCAACCGAGUCGGGUAGCUUGGGAAUGCUGCUCCAAUUGGUGGUAAAUCUCAUCAAAGGCUAAAUAACGGUGGGAGACCGAUAGCGAACAAGUACCGUGAGGGAAAGAUGGAAAGAACUUUGAAAAGAGAGUGAAAAGCGCUUGAAACCGUCACGGGGGAAGCGGAUUGCGUGAGUGAUGGCGUGCACUGUUCAGCUCAAAGUGUGGAGUGUAUUCUGUGCGCGCCGGGCGUGUGUGGCUGGGGUGCGUGCGAAUUUGGCACGCGUUCCUGGUGAGGGCUCCCUGCCAGUCAGGUGAGGACACACGCGAAAUGACGCAAUACGACCCGUCUUGAAACACGGACCAAGGAGUCUAGCACGGCUGCGAGUCGAAGGGUGUGAAAACCCAGAGGGCGCAGUGAAAGCGAAAGAAAGCAAAUUGGGGAGGCGUUGCGGUUCUACCAAAAUGUCCUACCUCGAGCACCUGUGCUGGGACCCGAAAGAUGGUGAACUAUGCCGGAGUAGGGCAAAGCCAGAGGAAACUCUGGUGGAGGCUCGUAGCGAUGCUGACGUGCAAAUCGCUCGUCGAACUUGGGUAUAGGGGCGAAAGACUAAUCGAACCAUCUAGUAGCUGGUUCCCUCCGAAGUUUCUCUCAGGAUAGCGGGCCGACGACCUGUUGUUUUGUGCGGUAAAGCGAAUGAUUAGUGCAUUUGGGGGCCGAAGGCCUCCAGGCGAUUCUCAAACUUUAAAUGCGCAAGGGGGCGGCUGCUUAAUUGAGCCUGCUCUUUGAAAAACGUCGGCCCUGUGGGCCACUUUUGGUAAGCAGAACUGGCGAUAAGGGAUGAACCUUAAGCGCGGUUAAGGCGCCGCAUUGCCCGCUUAUAGACCCCACAAAAGGUGUUGAUUCAUCCAGACAGCAGGACGGUGGCCAUGGAAGUCGGAAUCCGCUAAGGAGUGUGUAACAACUCACCUGCCGAAUGAAUUAGCCCUGAAAAUGGAUGGCGCUGAAGCGGGCAGCCGACACCGCGCCGUUCGGGCGAGACGAUGCCCGGAUGAGUAGGAGGGCGUGGCGGUCAGUGACGCAGGCGUGGGUGCAGACCCCGCUGAAACGGCCGCUAGUGCAGAUCUUGGUGGUAGUAGCAAAUAUUCAAGCGAGAUCCUUGAAGGGCGAAGCGGGGAAGGGUUCCACGCGAACAUUGAUUGGGCGUGGGUGAGUC